CCUACGGGGGGCAGCAGUAAGGAAUAUUGGUCAAUGGACGCAAGUCUGAACCAGCCAUGCCGCGUGGAGGAUGAAGGUCCUCUGGAUUGUAAACUUCUUUUAUUUGGGAAGAAACCCACGAUUUCUAUUGUGGUUGAUGGUACCAGAUGAAUAAGCACCGGCUAACUCCGUGCCAGCAGCCGCGGUAAUACGGAGGGUGCAAGCGUUAUCCGGAUUCACUGGGGCUAAAGGGUGCAGGUGCGGGCAGGUUGACAUCCCCGGGCUUAACUUGGGAACUGCCGUUGAUACUAUCUGUCUUGAAUACUGUGGAGGUAAGCGGAAUAUGUCAUGUAGCGGUGAAAUGCUUAGAUAUGACAUAGAACACCUAUUGCGAAGGCAGCUUGCUACACAGUCAUUGACGCUGAGGCACGAAAGCGUGGGGAUCAAACAGGAUUAGAUACCCUAGUAGUC
Molecule: ribosomal RNA, 450 nt
Filed under: uncultured bacterium
Lineage: Bacteria
Description: partial 16S ribosomal RNA
Rfam family: Bacterial small subunit ribosomal RNA
Source: RNAcentral